Molecule: long non-coding RNA, 249 nt
Filed under: Brassica napus (rape)
Lineage: Eukaryota; Viridiplantae; Streptophyta; Magnoliopsida; Brassicales; Brassicaceae
Description: long non-coding RNA (BNAP_LNC005813)
Source: RNAcentral
UAAGAAAGAACUCAUAAAAAUCGCGAGCUCUUGGUUUUUGUUUCAAUUUAUACCAAUUCUACAGUUUCAAGAUGUUUUCCCCAAUUUCAAACCACAAUCUCGCUUACUAAGAUCCUACCAAACUUUUCGACAACAAUUUACAAGUUUUCCCCAAAUUUUACCUGACCUAAAUACAAAAUACAAGGAAAUCAAGGUCAAGAAAUAACUUACCAGAAUGAAGGAUGUCGAUUCAGAAGAUAAAGUCUUGAU